This 253-nucleotide ribosomal RNA is filed under the name uncultured bacterium. RNAcentral describes it as "partial 16S ribosomal RNA". It matches the Rfam family "Archaeal small subunit ribosomal RNA", at positions 474 to 727 of the family's 1478-position model. The record is from RNAcentral.
UACCAGCACCCCGAGUGGUCAGGACGUUUAUUGGGCCUAAAGCAUCCGUAGCCGGCUUUGCAAGUCUUCGGUUAAAUCCACCUGCUCAACAGAUGGGCCGCUGGAGAUACUACAAAGCUAGGGAGUGGGAGAGGCAGACGGUAUUCAGUGGGUAGGGGUAAAAUCCUCUGAUCCAUUGAGGACCACCAGUGGCGAAGGCGGUCUGCCAGAACACGUUCGACGGUGAGGGAUGAAAGCUGGGGGAGCAAACCGG